Molecule: ribosomal RNA, 835 nt
Filed under: Sarcophaga forma
Lineage: Eukaryota; Metazoa; Arthropoda; Insecta; Diptera; Sarcophagidae
Description: eukaryotic LSU rRNA
Rfam family: Eukaryotic large subunit ribosomal RNA
Source: RNAcentral
GUUCAGCACUAAGUCACUUUGUCUUUAUGGCAAAUGUGAGAUGCAGUGUAUGGAAUGUCAAAUUUCUAGUAUGAGAAAUUAACGAUUUAAGUCCUUCUUAAAUGAGGCCAUUUACCCAUAGAGGGUGCCAGGCCCGUAUAACGUUAAUGAUUACUAGAUGGCAUUUCCAAAGAGUCGUGUUGCUUGAUAGUGCAGCACUAAGUGGGUGGUAAACUCCAUCUAAAACUAAAUAUAACCAUGAGACCGAUAGUAAACAAGUACCGUGAGGGAAAGUUGAAAAGAACUCUGAAUAGAGAGUUAAAUAGUACGUGAAACUGCUUAGAGGUUAAGCCCGAUGAACCUGAAUAUCCAUUAUAGAAAAUUCAUCAUCAUGACUUUAAUAUUAAUAAUAUUAUAAUAAUGGUGUGCAUUUUUUCUAUAACGGACAUUGUAAUCUAUUAACAUAAAUAUAUUUAUCAUAAGAUCAAUGAUGCGUAAGUUUAUUCAAAUUAUUUUGCUUGCAAUUUAACAUAGAAUAAAUGCUCUUGAUUUGAUAAAGUGUUGAUAGAUUUAUUGUAUAUAGUGCUUAAAUAUUUAUAUUUUAUAAUAGCAUAUUAAUCAUUGAUUUUUAUGUUUAUUAUAUGCACUUAUAUGAUUAACAAUGCGAAAGAUUCAGGAUACCUUCGGGACCCGUCUUGAAACACGGACCAAGGAGUCUAACAUAUUUGCAAGUUAUUGGGUAUCAAAACCUAAUAGCGAAAUUAACAUAACUUUAAUGGGAUUAGUUUUUAGAUUAUUUAUAGUCUAUUAAUUCAAUCCCGGGGCGUUCAAUAGUUAUGUAUAAUAAUAUUUAUAU